This 658-nucleotide ribosomal RNA is filed under the name Micrococcus sp. RNAcentral's name for it is "bacterial SSU rRNA". It matches the Rfam family "Bacterial small subunit ribosomal RNA", at positions 49 to 721 of the family's 1533-position model. The record is from RNAcentral. Lineage: Bacteria; Bacillati; Actinomycetota; Actinomycetes; Micrococcales; Micrococcaceae.
UUACCAUGCAAGUCGAACGAUGAAGCCCAGCUUGCUGGGUGGAUUAGUGGCGAACGGGUGAGUAACACGUGAGUAACCUGCCCUUAACUCUGGGAUAAGCCUGGGAAACUGGGUCUAAUACCGGAUAGGAGCGUCCACCGCAUGGUGGGUGUUGGAAAGAUUUAUCGGUUUUGGAUGGACUCGCGGCCUAUCAGCUUGUUGGUGAGGUAAUGGCUCACCAAGGCGACGACGGGUAGCCGGCCUGAGAGGGUGACCGGCCACACUGGGACUGAGACACGGCCCAGACUCCUACGGGAGGCAGCAGUGGGGAAUAUUGCACAAUGGGCGCAAGCCUGAUGCAGCGACGCCGCGUGAGGGAUGACGGCCUUCGGGUUGUAAACCUCUUUCAGUAGGGAAGAAGCGAAAGUGACGGUACCUGCAGAAGAAGCACCGGCUAACUACGUGCCAGCAGCCGCGGUAAUACGUAGGGUGCGAGCGUUAUCCGGAAUUAUUGGGCGUAAAGAGCUCGUAGGCGGUUUGUCGCGUCUGUCGUGAAAGUCCGGGGCUUAACCCCGGAUCUGCGGUGGGUACGGGCAGACUAGAGUGCAGUAGGGGAGACUGGAAUUCCUGGUGUAGCGGUGGAAUGCGCAGAUAUCAGGAGGAACACCGAUGGCGAAGG